Molecule: long non-coding RNA, 918 nt
Filed under: Sorghum bicolor (sorghum)
Lineage: Eukaryota; Viridiplantae; Streptophyta; Magnoliopsida; Poales; Poaceae
Description: long non-coding RNA (SBIC_LNC014755)
Source: RNAcentral
UUGGUAGGUGGGAGAUUCAUUUACAAAAGAUUCAGAGCAAGUGAAAAACUAUAAAGCUUGGCUAUAUACCACAGAAUGGCUGAAUACUUCCCCAAAAUUAAUUUUGUUAUCCAAAUUGAAUACAUAUUUUCGUAUAUAGCAUCAUGAGCCCAGCAUAUAUACCAAGGUAAGCACGACAGAUAGAGUAGAUUUCAGUAGCUAGUUUCAGGACAAGUGACUCAGCCAGGAAGUCUUCCUCCCACUGUCACAGUUGAAAGCAUCAAGAUCAUCAACAUGGACCGACAUUUAAACAAUCGUGCAGUACACUAAGGUGUUUUUUGGUUUUCAGACAAUUAACAAAACUAUAAAGCGGAUCAUGUCACAGUUAUUUACUUGAUUUGUUUGCAGGAGAAUGUCAGCAAAAAAAGGAAUAAAUAAGAACCCUCUAGGGGGUCGCCCAAAGUCUUGGGCUCUUGGCCGCACAGUAAACCACGAGGAGCUCAAGCUCGUCAAACGUGUGUGGCGCGUGGGUGUGGGUUAGGACUGAGGUUGCUAUAUAUAUGAGGGCAUGAGACGUGAAAAACCAGCAGCCUUGAGAUGAUCUAAUAAAUACUAACCAAUGGGUUGUACCGGGACAGAGGAAAAUAAGAAAAUGUGACAAUCAAAUGUGGAGGGACGGAUAUGAUUCAACUGGAUAAAUUGGCCAUGCAUAUAGCACGGUAUCGUUGGACUCUGUGGCGGAGCAUGGCCUAAAAUCACAGAGCAAAUUUUCUCAAUGCUAUCUGUAAGACUAAGAACUGAGCCUUAUUUAACUAGAUCCAUGGCAAUGACUGAACAAAUACAUUAAUUGAGAAUGGUUUACCAAGUUCUAGACAUGAAAAACUAGUCAGACACAAACUUUGGAUAAUGCCUGAAUGAAUUUUAGUGUCGGUUCCCUUU